UACGUAGGCAGCGAGCGUUGUUCGGAAUUACUGGGCGUAAAGAGUGUGUAGGCGGUGCUCUAAGUUCGGUGUGAAAUCUCCUGGCUCAACUGGGAGGGUGCGCCGGAAACUGGAGUGCUUGAGCGUGGGAGAGGAAAGCGGAAUUCCUGGUGUAGCGGUGAAAUGCGUAGAUAUCAGGAGGAACACCUGUGGUGUAGACGGCUUUCUGGACCAUAGCUGACGCUGAGGAGCGAAAGCUAGGGGAGCAAACGGG
This 253-nucleotide ribosomal RNA is filed under the name uncultured bacterium. Its description in RNAcentral is "partial 16S ribosomal RNA". It matches the Rfam family "Bacterial small subunit ribosomal RNA", at positions 524 to 776 of the family's 1533-position model. The record is from RNAcentral.